RNAcentral lists this small RNA (29 nucleotides) under Bombyx mori (domestic silkworm). RNAcentral's name for it is "ovarian small RNA-33882". The record is from RNAcentral. Lineage: Eukaryota; Metazoa; Arthropoda; Insecta; Lepidoptera; Bombycidae.
UGCCUGUUAAGAGGGGGAAAUUCCUCAAU